Sapajus apella (tufted capuchin) is the source of this 98-nucleotide long non-coding RNA. RefSeq lists it as uncharacterized. The transcript is spliced from 3 exons. NCBI's taxonomy places the organism in Eukaryota, Metazoa, Chordata, Mammalia, Primates, Cebidae. The record is from RefSeq and is a predicted model, not a curated record.
CUGCCAGGUCAAUGUGAUAUCCACAGGGUAGAAGCCCAGGGCCCAACACCUCAGGGUGGCCUCAUGGUCAGAGAUGGGGUGGUGGGUCUGUGUGGCUU